CGCGUAGGUGGUUUCAGCAAGUUGGAGGUGAAAUCCCCGGGCUCAACCUGGGAACUGCCUCCAAAACUACUGAGCUAGAGUACGGUAGAGGGUAGUGGAAUUUCCUGUGUAGCGGUGAAAUGCGUAGAUAUAGGAAGGAACACCAGUGGCGAAGGCGACUACCUGGACUGAUACUGACACUGAGGUGCGAAAGCGUGGGGAGCAAACA
RNAcentral lists this ribosomal RNA (208 nucleotides) under uncultured bacterium. RNAcentral describes it as "partial 16S ribosomal RNA". It matches the Rfam family "Bacterial small subunit ribosomal RNA", at positions 568 to 774 of the family's 1533-position model. The record is from RNAcentral.